CAGGGAGACAACAAAAUGUUUAAUUAUUAUUUUGUCACCUUAGGUCGAUCGGUACCUCACGUUCUUGAUUUAUCAAGAAUUUCAUUUUCUAAGUUUUUCUAGGUCACACCCAUUAUUUUUCCUGGGCCAUUAGCUCAGGUGGUUAGAGCGCACCCCUGAUAAGGGUGAGGUCCCUGGUUCAAGUCCAGGAUGGCCCAUAUCUCUAUGUUGGGGGUAUAGCUCAGUUGGUAGAGCGCCUGCUUUGCAAGCAGGAUGUCAGCGGUUCGAGUCCGCUUACCUCCACUGAUUACCACCUCUUCCAUAAUUUGUAGAAAGGAAAUGUUUUGAGUUGUGAUCAAAUUCUGAACGAAUUUAGCUUCCUAAUGAAAUCAUUAAGAUGCUGGACUCAUUGAAUUAAUUUCAUUGUUUUCAGAGAACCUUGACAACUGCAUAGAUUAUUUUUAAAGACAAUAAGCAUCUUUAUGUGAUGCAGAUUUAUUAUUUGUGCGAAUGCAUUAAAUAACAAUUCUAUUAAGCUGAUGCUUCAAAUUUUUGAAGUUAUU
This 542-nucleotide transfer RNA is filed under the name uncultured Prochlorococcus sp. RNAcentral's name for it is "partial 16S-23S ribosomal RNA intergenic spacer". The stretch from base 210 to 282 matches the Rfam family "tRNA". Lineage: Bacteria; Bacillati; Cyanobacteriota; Cyanophyceae; Synechococcales; Prochlorococcaceae. The record is from RNAcentral.